Molecule: long non-coding RNA, 774 nt
Filed under: Mus musculus (house mouse)
Lineage: Eukaryota; Metazoa; Chordata; Mammalia; Rodentia; Muridae
Description: long non-coding RNA chrX:134489369-134490143
Source: RNAcentral
AUGAAGGCUGGGAGAGGGACCCUGGAUGUCUGCCUGGCCAAGCAGUCACAAGGAGGUGACCCGGACAAACUAGCAUGUGGCCUUAAGAAAAGAAGUCAGAAGAGGAACCCCAGCCCAUCAGUUGUGCCUUCUUGGACAGACCAGCCUGUAGCAGAUAGCCAUGGGCCACCGCGGCGGCAGCCUCAGAAAUGAAGCAUGGUCAGAGCAAGGCCAGCCUCCUGCGUUAUGGUGGCUUCAAAGUGCUUCAGUCUCUGAAGGGAUCAAUGGGGAGAAAUUCAACCCCAGCAGCCUCCCUCGGCAAGGCUGUGGCUCUGUCCCCUGCUCCUUCAGAAGAACAACUAGCCGGGAUGUCCCGUGGCAUCGGGGAUGCACUAGGAAGUGACUGGCCAGGAAGAGAGCCCAGAGCCACAGACAACCGUGGACAGUACCUCAAAGGAGAGUCCUGGGUGUCAGGAUGGCCAGGCCAUCCAAAACCGAGGGAAGUGGGAUUCCUAAGAGGUGAACCACUAAGUGCUGUCCCCAAGGGGCUAGGCACCUGGUCAGAACUGUCUCAGCGAUACUCUGAGCUGUGCCAGCUGCCAUAUGCUUACCUCUAUUAUAAAGUUCUCCCAGAAGACGAGCUGAGGCGUGUGUCCCUUGACUGUUUCAAUCCCGUGCUUUCAGAGGAAACAGUAGAAGAUGAGAAAACUCUCGAGUAAUUCAGAUGGUCCGCAGAUAGUCGUAGGGUCACUGGCUCCGCAAUCUUCCAGAGUAGCAAGUCUCUGAUGCCAUAGU